CCCUAAUUUGCAUAGACCUAAAAGUGCACAUGCUUAUGGUGCUACUAUUUAUUGUACAAUACAUGAGGCUUACACUUUGGUUAGUGCCUUUAUUUUUUGCCCCUUGGAGCCCUUGUCUGUCUUUAAAGGUACUAAUGUGUAGUUAAAGCAGUUUUUGAAGGAACCCAACUAAUUUUGUUAAAAUAAUCAGUGUGGGUAAAUGCUGAUUUGCCACAGGUGUUAUUGAAUUCCAGGAACUAUGUGGAAUACAGCUUUGUACAAAACUUGCAUUAGCUGAAGGUGUGGUAUACAGUGAAAACUAUGUACUGUAUAAAUGUAACAUUGUCCCUUUCCAGAGCUAAUGAGACUGUUGUAAAUGUAGCACAGUAUAAAAGCAUUAUGACAAGUAGAACAGGUGGAUGCAGAUAUCUGCAUUUCUUAAACUGCCAUUAUGAACAAUGUUACAUUCAGCUCUAGUGCAAAAUAAUUCUAAUGGUAACUGGCAUUGGCUUAAAGGCACACUGUAGGCACCCAGACCACUUCAGCUCGCUCAAGCGGUCUGGGUGCUUUGUCCUUUUUGCACUUAGUGCUGCAAUGUAAAACAUUGCAGUUCCAUAGAAACUGCAAUGUUUACAUUGCAGCUCUAAGUCUGCCCUAAGUGGCUGUCUAUCAGACAGCCUUUAUAGGGCUUCCCAAAUCGUAAGAGACUUUUGGUUCGUUAUCUGACGCUGGAUGUCCUCACGCUCUGCAUGAGGACCUUCUGCUUCAGAUUGUUCCCCUUAAGAAAGCAUUGAUUCAAUGCUUUCCUAUGGGGAGGACUAAUACGUGAGGGACAUUGGCGCUGGGGUCAGGUAAGUAAAGGGCCUAUUAACCCAGCUCCAAGAUUUAAGACGUCUUGUAAAACUAAGCAUCUAAUUUGUAUUGAAUGUGCCACCCCCAUGCUGGACAGCUGUAGGAAAAAGAUUUGUAACCAAUGCUCAACAGAGUUAAACAAAAGGAGAUGUAUACGUUUCUCAACUGCUUCCAGGAAAACCUCUCCCAGACAUUUUGAAGCAUUUAAAGACAACACCACUAAAUCCUGGGAUUCAUAUAUUUGUCCGGGACUGAGCCAGAAAAGGAAAGAAAAGGCAGAGGUCCUUUUCAUCUUCUGACUUGGUACUCCACUACUUGUGUGAAGCUCCUUUUGAACCACUGGACGAAGUCUCCUUUAAGCCCUUAUCGCUAUUACAUCAACUAAAAGUGUAGGCAAACUCCAAGUGCUUUCCUUCUGUCUAAAUUUCACCAUGUUUCACCAAGGUUGUACUUAAUCUGAUACCUUUGUGUCUUUCAAAGGUGGUCUCCAAAGCCAAUAUUAACCAGCCCAGUUUUCUGCCCACUCUGUGCUGACCACCUUCCAUUUCGGUAGAAGCCAUGUUGCACUUAUUAAUUACAUUAAUUGUUCUUCAUCCUUCAGGAUCUCCGAUCGCCUUUUCAUUCAUUUUCAAUGUGCACAUAAAAGUAAAUAGUCAUCAAAGGCGACUAUCGCCAAGUGGUUAACAGAAGCUAUCAAAAUGGCCUUUGAAGUCAGUGGUCAAUCUCUUUCUACUAAUGUAAAAGCUCAUUCCACAAGAGCUAUGGCUACUUCUUGGAAAGCAAAGGCAUAGGCCUAUCCUGAAGACGUGUAAGGCGGCAACUUGGUCAUUAAUCAGUACCUUCAUCCGUCACGGGCUAGACAUCUUUGUAUCCUCAGAAGCUGCUUUUGGGUGUAAGUUGCUGUCUGCUGCUGUAUCAUGACUUCCCAGCCGGUUUGGGAUCUUAUUAUAUUCCUUUGUACUGACGCUAUUUGCCGGGAAAAACUAAAAUUUUACUUACCGUAAUAAUUGUUUUCCUUAGUAUAGCAGCAGUACAGAUUUCCCCCUGUAUAAUAAAGUAUUUAGAUAUUUUUGCAGUAUCUGGUCUCCUGGUUCUUUUUUUUCUUGCUAUUGCUGAUGAUGUGGGCAGCUUGUGGUUAUUUAAGGUAUG
Molecule: long non-coding RNA, 1980 nt
Filed under: Pelobates cultripes (western spadefoot toad)
Lineage: Eukaryota; Metazoa; Chordata; Amphibia; Anura; Pelobatidae
Source: RNAcentral